CCUACGGGUGGCAGCAGUGAGGAAUAUUGGUCAAUGGACGAGAGACUGAACCAGCCAAGUAGCGUGAAGGAUGACUGCCCUAUGGGUUGUAAACUUCUUUUAUAUGGGAAUAAAAUGUUCCACGUGUGGGAUUUUGUAUGUACCAUAUGAAUAAGGAUCGGCUAACUCCGUGCCAGCAGCCGCGGUAAUACGGAGGAUCCGAGCGUUAUCCGGAUUUAUUGGGUUUUAAGGGAGCGUAGGUGGAUUGUUAAGUUAGUUGUGAAAGUUUGCGGCUCAACCGUGGAAUUGCGGUUGAAACUGGCAGUCUUGAGUACGGUAGAGGUAUGCGGAAUUCGUGGUGUAGCGGUGAAAUGCUUAGAUAUCACGAAGAACUCCGAUUGCGAAGGCAGCACACUGGACUGCAACUGACGCUGAGGCUCGAAAGUGUGGGUAUCGAACAGGAUUAGAUACCCCUGUAGUC
This 460-nucleotide ribosomal RNA is filed under the name uncultured bacterium. RNAcentral describes it as "partial 16S ribosomal RNA". It matches the Rfam family "Bacterial small subunit ribosomal RNA", at positions 338 to 795 of the family's 1533-position model. The record is from RNAcentral.